Non-coding RNA from Cyanistes caeruleus (blue tit), 2341 nucleotides. The record is from RefSeq and is a predicted model, not a curated record. NCBI's taxonomy places the organism in Eukaryota, Metazoa, Chordata, Aves, Passeriformes, Paridae.
AGCUCCCUCAUGGGCGGCGGCGCCGGCAGCCGCCCCCAUGGCCCAGGCACGGCAGGAGGAGCGGCCGCGGCUGCAACCCGGAAGAAAAGGGAGCAGGGCUGGGACACGCAGCCGCCUUUCCUCCUCCUCCUCCUCGCCCUCCGCGGCCGCGCAGCCGGGCGGGAUCCAGCGGCAGCGCGGGCGGAGCUGCCUCCCCCUUAGGAGGGGCCUUCUCCCCAUGCGGGACGUUCAGCGUCCCGACAGUUUUUUGAGUUCACAUCAAUCAAGACAUCACUUUCUUUCAAAUUUUUCCAGAACCAGGAAGAAAGAGAAGAGAAAGGUAUAAUGGUGUUAUUUAAUCCUGGUUUGAGCAAUGCCAAGAAUCUAUAUUUAAGAGAGACAGAUCAGAUCUGUCUCUAUUAAUCAUUCACAGAGACUGAAAGCAGAGCAUAUAAACCAUGAAAUCCACUCUCAAUAACUUAAAAUUCUUAGUGUUGUAAAUUUUACUUGCUUUAAAAAUCCCAAGAGAUACUCAGCAGAAUUGUGUUAAUUUAGGUUACAAUAUUAAUCUCUUCUUGUUGUAUAUAAUUGCAUAUAAUAUAAUGCUUUCUUUCCUUUUUCUUAAAAAAGACUUGGUGAGCCAAAAGCAGACAGUGAGAGGGAACCAAAGUUUUCCACUUCAAAGGAUGUGUAAAUCUCCACUGGUGAUUCUGAUGUAAUGGUUAGGAAUUUUAUAUCAACCCCUGGGUUUUGACAAAAAAUUGGUAACAUGAUGUCUCUCAUAUGGGAGUUUAUAUUUUUGUGCAGUAUUAGCGAGGGAGGAGUGCGGAGAGUAAGCAAGAGCACGAGGAAGAAAAAUAAAACCAAAGAAACAAGUUAGCAUAAAUAUAUUCCUUAUGAUAUUUUUAUAACCCUUUCAAACAUGGGCCAUUGCUGCCAAUAAGCAGCUCUAUCAAGAGAACCCCAGUGUGCAAAUUUCUUAAUGUAAUAUUGUGAGGUAUUUCAGUCCUGGCCUGUAUGUCUCCUGCUCUUCUUCCUCUCUGGUGCAGGACUGCACAGUGACACCUGGCCAUCUCCACUAACAGUGAGUUCCACUUGAGGACCAAGCUUGCAAUUUAGGUAUUCAGAGGCAAAGAAGCUAGUUGAUAAGCUGGCUGGGACAUAAUAAAGGCAGUAAUUUAUUAUGUUCACUAAGUUAUCUCUCUGAUUUAUAUAGCCAAAAGUCUUGAGUUACACUGCAGAAAAUGCUGGUACCCGAGACACAGAAUCCUGUUUGGAGUUUGAAAAUCCAAUUCAAAACAUAGAGGAGGUUGAUCUGAAUAGUGGUUAAAUGGACAUGUUCAGUAACUGAACUGGAUUAUGUAAAAGCACUUGGGAAGGAGCUGAACACUGGUUUUGGAAAGAGAAAAUUGCAGCAGUUGAGCUACCCUUUGGGUCUCAGGAGAGCUGAGCUUUAUCCUCUGCCUGACUUGCUAGGGUCAUUUCCUCUAUUUAUGGCAGAUUUGAUAUUCCUGAAAGCACCAUGCAGCAUCAGCACUGUGUACAGGCAGGGGCAUGAAGAAACCAGUUACAUAUUUUGAAACAAUUUUCUAGUUGAUUAGACAAGAAAUUAAAGUGUUCUGCAGCUAUGAUUUGGUUUCUGCAGAACCCUCUGUUUUUAUAAUUAGCUGGUUGCUGUUGUGUAUCCUAAGGUUCUGGUGGCUGAAAUUCCCAUGUUGAGAGCCUGUCCUCUGAUCUCUUGUCCCACUGCAGCAAAAAUCUGGUCACUGAAUAGUGAUGUGUAGAGUUUAAUUACAGAAAUACUGACAAAAGGCAGUGCUCAUUUGUCAAAUGUACUCACAAUUGUAAGAAGAGCCUUGCACUGGAGAAUCAAAAGACGCAUAAAAAAUACUGAUUGAGCUGGCUUCAUCCACUUAUGGAGGGGUAUUUUUUGUUUUGGAGGUGAUGAGGAGAUUGUUUUGUGCAAGGCUUUGCUGUGGUUCUCCAGCAAAGGUAGGAGCUGAAAGGCCAGAUCUCCAGAUUUCCAGCCACCUGCCCCAGCCCCAGAGAUGCUUUUCAAAACUGCAGCUUGCUUCUACAAAUAUGCAACACUCUUCCUUAAUUUCACUUCUGCAUUUGGUUAUGCAGGUGCGCAUGUGAGGCAUAACUUUGGACAAGACUGUGUGUGCAGGCAUGCUGCACAUGCUGCAGAAACACUACAGCAGCAUUGUUUGUUAUGGCCACAGCCUGGCCACGUUUCAGUAAAUGGCAAAAGUCCCGUUGGCAAUCUGGCCAGAGUUUCAGUUAUAAAUCCCAAAUUAACAUUUGUGGAUGAUGAUAUUAUGGCUGGUCAGAGGCGCGCUACGAUUUCAGAGAUGUUGAU